GAUAAACGCUGGCGGCGUGCCUAAUGCAUGCAAGUCGCACGGGGUGGCCUUUCGGGGCCAUCGAGUGGCGAACGGGUGAGGAACGCGUGGACAACCUACCCCGGCGUGGGGGAUACCCGCCAGAAAUGGCGGCUAAUACCGCGUACGGUCGCCCGACGGAGGGUCGGGCGAAGAAAGCAGCGAUGCGCGCUGGGAGGGGUCUGCGGCCGAUUAGCUCGUUGGCGGGGUAGUGGCCCACCAAGGCGAUGAUCGGUAGCUGGUCUGAGAGGAUGAUCAGCCACACGGGGACUGAGACACGGCCCCGACUCCUACGGGAGGCAGCAGCAAGGAAUUUUCCGCAAUGGGGCAACCCUGACGGAGCAACGCCGCGUGACGGAUGACGCCUCUUGGGUGUAAACGUCUUUUGCCGGGGGAGAGAACGGACGGUACCCGGCGAAUCAGGACC
Molecule: ribosomal RNA, 445 nt
Filed under: uncultured bacterium
Lineage: Bacteria
Description: bacterial SSU rRNA
Rfam family: Bacterial small subunit ribosomal RNA
Source: RNAcentral